This 275-nucleotide ribosomal RNA is filed under the name uncultured bacterium. RNAcentral describes it as "partial 16S ribosomal RNA". It matches the Rfam family "Bacterial small subunit ribosomal RNA", at positions 399 to 691 of the family's 1533-position model. The record is from RNAcentral.
GCGUGAGUGACGAAGGCCUUAGGGUUGUAAAGCUCUUUCACCGGGGAAGAUAAUGACGGUACCCGGAGAAGAAGCCCCGGCUAACUCCGUGCCAGCAGCCGCGGUAAUACGGAGGGGGCUAGCGUUGUUCGGAAUUACUGGGCGUAAAGGGCGCGUAGGCGGCCAACUAAGUUGGGGGUGAAAUCCCGGGGCUUAACCUCGGAACUGCCUUCAAAACUGGAUGGCUUGAGAGCGAGAGAGGAAAGCGGAAUACCCAGUGUAGAGGUGAAAUUCGU